Aethalodelphis obliquidens (Pacific white-sided dolphin) is the source of this 164-nucleotide long non-coding RNA. RefSeq lists it as uncharacterized. The transcript has 3 exons. Lineage: Eukaryota; Metazoa; Chordata; Mammalia; Artiodactyla; Delphinidae. The record is from RefSeq and is a predicted model, not a curated record.
UGCUGACUAUCCAUGCAUUAUACCCAUUUUUCAGGGUUGUAUGUAUAGAUAACCUACUGUUUAGAAAGGACUUAUAUGAAGACUGAAAUACAAAUGGUUUUUCCAGCAGAGAAAGGAAAUGGGUCUCAAGCCUCUCAUUGCGUGACUCCUCUGCACAUGCCGAC